GGGGCCGACCUGGUUUCGACGUGGGUUACAAAGCAUGCAGGGCAUACCGAGGACCCAUCACCUCGUAAAUACAAUGGGAAAUCUGUAAACGCAAACGAAGAGCGUUUCGCUCUAGCCGCUUAAUCCCGGCUGGACGCUGCACUGAUUGGUCUCUGGGUCAGGUGAGGCAACUCACAGCAGUGUCAUUCACAGAGACUCGUGUCCGGUUGGGUUACUUAACCGUCCACUAAAUCCAAGGUAACUGGUUGCGCGUCGGCCUGUCUGCUGGCUAAGCGCGUGACGAGAUCAAAAUAAACAGACUAAGUAUGUAGAACUGUAUGUGGAGGAUUUACGGACGCGGGUUCGAUUCCCGCCGGCUCCACCA
This 364-nucleotide transfer-messenger RNA is filed under the name Burkholderiaceae. RNAcentral's name for it is "SCTK01 sp004298905 Standard tmRNA". It matches the Rfam family "transfer-messenger RNA". From Rfam's summary of the family: Bacterial tmRNA, also known as 10Sa RNA or SsrA, is named for its dual tRNA and mRNA-like properties. Its role is to liberate the mRNA from a stalled ribosome. Lineage: Bacteria; Pseudomonadati; Pseudomonadota; Betaproteobacteria; Burkholderiales. The record is from RNAcentral. RNAcentral also lists the same sequence under 1 other name.